UCUAGACUGCAUGAUCAUAUUUUUUAAUUAACAGCUCGAGCUCGAUCACUACUUUUAACUGGAAUCUGGAUGCACCUACCCUCUUCGACCGCACAGUACAUAAAUUCCUACAGUGCUGGCGGUAGCAUCUGUAAAGGCUCUGGGCAUGGAGGUGGUGGAUGAGAAGGCUCUCUAACUAGCUAUAAUUUGUUCAAGUUCUUUGGUGGCCAUACAUUGGAUGCUC
RNAcentral lists this long non-coding RNA (223 nucleotides) under Carica papaya (papaya). RNAcentral's name for it is "long non-coding RNA (CPAP_LNC015205)". The record is from RNAcentral. Lineage: Eukaryota; Viridiplantae; Streptophyta; Magnoliopsida; Brassicales; Caricaceae.